UUCACAUAAAAUGCAAUAUGUCUAGUUAUAACAACUAACACAUCAAGGCGGAGUUUUUAAAAUAUUUAAGAUUUUUAAAUAUUGCUUUAAUAUAUACAUUAUACAUAUACCGUUGAUAUAGUGAAUUUAAGUUAACGUUCUUAACGUAUGCCGAAUUCUUCAGUAUUAUGAAAAUCACAGGACAAAUUCGUCGAUGCUUUAAAUUUAAACCAGUACAAUAUUAUAAAGUCUUUGUGUAUGGGACACUCAAACGAGGCGAACGUAAUCACCAUUGGUUGACAAAGCCAGAAAAUGGAAAAGGGACGUAUGUAGCUGAUGGGAUAACGAAAAAUAAAUAUCCAUUAAUUAUAGCAUCAAGUUCGAAUAUACCAUAUUUAUUGUAUAUUCCCGGGGAAGGACAUAAUGUGAAAGGUGAAGUUUAUGAAGUGGAUGAUUUGAUGCUAGAAAAAUUGGAUGUUUUAGAAGGACAUCCAGAUUAUUAUACUAGAGAAGUUGACGAUAUUGAAGUUACAAAAGGUUAAUUUCAGGUUCAAAAAUUCAAUUGAAAGUUGCUGGGUGUAUUUCCUCAAGAAAUUCAAUCCGGAAAUGGUGUCAAAACCUCGCGUGAACAACUACUCCUCAUCAGGCAACCAUAGCAUGUUUUAAGGCCAGUUAUGGCUUUAGCCUAUGCCCUGCCCGUGCGCAACCCUGGCGGCACCUUGAAUUAAAGUGCACGGUCAAAACAGAAGAGAUACCUAAACCUAGAGGGCUAGGUAAAGCCUGCUUAGUGGGCGGUGGAUUUAAUGGAUGAGUGGGAUCAGUCAUUAAUUCCCUUUUCCUAAAAAUUGAGAAAUAUUCAAAUAAUUGACGAGGAAUCUGACUAGUAGAAGACUGACAUACGUGUAUAUGGAAGAUAUAAGCUUUGAAGACAGAAAUUAAUAAUAACUAUGUAUAAUAAAAUACAUCUAUAUUAUGUGUUGUGUUUUAUGCUCCGAAUAAAUUA
This is a long non-coding RNA of Plodia interpunctella (Indianmeal moth), 982 nucleotides long. RefSeq lists it as uncharacterized. The record is from RefSeq and is a predicted model, not a curated record. Lineage: Eukaryota; Metazoa; Arthropoda; Insecta; Lepidoptera; Pyralidae. The transcript is spliced from 5 exons.